AGGGCACCACCAGGAGUGGAGCCUGCGGCUUAAUUUGACUCAACACGGGAAAUCUCACCAGGCCCGGACACUGGCAGGAUUGACAGAUUGAGAGCUCUUUCUCGAUUCGGUGGUUGGUGGUGCAUGGCCGUUCUUAGUUGGUGGAGCGAUUUGUCUGGUUUAUUCCGAUAACGAACGAGACUCUAGCCUACUAAAUAGUGACUGGAUUGUUUCUGUCCAGGACACUUCUUAGAGGGACAAGUGGUGUUCAGCCACACGAAAUUGAGCAAUAACAGGUCUGUGAUGCCCUUAGAUGUCCGGGGCUGCACGCGCGCUACACUGGAGGAAUCAGCGUGCUAUACCAUUGCCGAAAGGCAUUGGUAAACCCGUCAAAAUCCUCCGUGAUCGGGAUCGGGAAUUGCAAUUAUUUCCCUUGAACGAGGAAUUCCCAGUAAGUGUGGGUCAUCAGCUCACGCUGAUUACGUCCCUGCCCUUUGUACACACCGCCCGUCGCUGCCCGGGACUGAGCCGUUUCGAGAA
Molecule: ribosomal RNA, 519 nt
Filed under: uncultured eukaryote
Lineage: Eukaryota
Description: SSU rRNA
Rfam family: Eukaryotic small subunit ribosomal RNA
Source: RNAcentral